This 486-nucleotide ribosomal RNA is filed under the name uncultured bacterium. RNAcentral describes it as "partial 16S ribosomal RNA". It matches the Rfam family "Bacterial small subunit ribosomal RNA", at positions 30 to 507 of the family's 1533-position model. The record is from RNAcentral.
AUUGAACGCUGGCGGCAUGCCUUACACAUGCAAGUCGAACGGCAGCACGGGUGCUUGCACCUGGUGGCGAGUGGCGAACGGGUGAGUAAUACAUCGGAACAUGUCCUGUAGUGGGGGAUAGCCCGGCGAAAGCCGGAUUAAUACCGCAUACGAUCUACGGAUGAAAGCGGGGGACCUUCGGGCCUCGCGCUAUAGGGUUGGCCGAUGGCUGAUUAGCUAGUUGGUGGGGUAAAGGCCUACCAAGGCGACGAUCAGUAGCUGGUCUGAGAGGACGACCAGCCACACUGGGACUGAGACACGGCCCAGACUCCUACGGGAGGCGGCAGUGGGGAAUUUUGGACAAUGGGCGAAAGCCUGAUCCAGUAAUGCCGCGUGUGUGAAGAAGGCCUUCGGGUUGUAAAGCACUUUUGUCCGGAAAGAAAUCCUUGGCCCUAAUACGGUCGGGGGAUGACGGUACCGGAAGAAUAAGCACCGGCUAACUACGUG